UUGAACGCUGGCGGCAUGCCUUACACAUGCAAGUCGAACGGCAGCACGGGUGCUUGCACCUGGUGGCGAGUGGCGAACGGGUGAGUAAUACAUCGGAACAUGUCCUGUAGUGGGGGAUAGCCCGGCGAAAGCCGGAUUAAUACCGCAUACGAUCUACGGAUGAAAGCGGGGGACCUUCGGGCCUCGCGCUAUAGGGUUGGCCGAUGGCUGAUUAGCUAGUUGGUGGGGUAAAGGCCUACCAAGGCGACGAUCAGUAGCGGGUCUGAGAGGACGACCAGCCACACUGGGACUGAGACACGGCCCAGACUCCUACGGGAGGCAGCAGUGGGGAAUUUUGGACAAUGGGCGAAAGCCUGAUCCAGCAAUGCCGCGUGUGUGAAGAAGGCCUUCGGGUUGUAAAGCACUUUUGUCCGGAAAGAAAUCCUUGGCCCUAAUACGGUCGGGGGAUGACGGUACCGGAAGAAUAAGCACCGGCUAACUACGUG
Molecule: ribosomal RNA, 485 nt
Filed under: uncultured bacterium
Lineage: Bacteria
Description: partial 16S ribosomal RNA
Rfam family: Bacterial small subunit ribosomal RNA
Source: RNAcentral